RNAcentral lists this ribosomal RNA (497 nucleotides) under uncultured bacterium. RNAcentral's name for it is "partial 16S ribosomal RNA". It matches the Rfam family "Bacterial small subunit ribosomal RNA", at positions 28 to 507 of the family's 1533-position model. The record is from RNAcentral.
GAUGAACGCUGGCGGCGUGCCUAAUACAUGCAAGUCGAGCGAACGGACGAGAAUCUUGCUUCUCUGAUGUUAGCGGCGGACGGGUGAGUAACACGUGGAUAACCUACCUAUAAGACUUGGAUAACUUCGGGAAACCGGAGCUAAUACCGGAUAAUAUUUUGAACCGCAUGGUUCAAAAGUGAAAGACGGUCUUGCUGUCACUUAUAGAUGGAUCCGCGCUGCAUUAGCUAGUUGGUAAGGUAACGGCUUACCAAGGCAACGAUGCAUAGCCGACCUGAGAGGGUGAUCGGCCACACUGGAACUGAGACACGGUCCAGACUCCUACGGGAGGCAGCAGUAGGGAAUCUUCCGAAAUGGGCGAAAGCCUGACGGAGCAACGCCGCGUGAGUGAUGAAGGUCUUCGGAUCGUAAAACUCUGUUAUUAGGGAAGAACAUAUGUGUAAGUAACUGUGCACAUCUUGACGGUACCUAAUCAGAAAGCCACGGCUAACUACGUG